CUUCCAAUGCCCAAGAAGCUUAGGCGUCCCCUCUUCAUUGCUGAUUUUCAAAUCCUGCUUGCAUCAAGAUCAAGGAAAGGAGACCAAGAAAAGAGAAGAAAAGAAAAAGAUCAAGAAAAGAUCAAGAGUUGAUCACAAGAUCCAGACUUGAUUCAGAUUCACAGGAAGAUUGUUCUCGGAGAAAAAAGAUCUAUAUCAAAGAGGACUGAUCCAG
This 214-nucleotide long non-coding RNA is filed under the name Elaeis guineensis (African oil palm). Its description in RNAcentral is "long non-coding RNA (EGUI_LNC020630)". Lineage: Eukaryota; Viridiplantae; Streptophyta; Magnoliopsida; Arecales; Arecaceae. The record is from RNAcentral.